Molecule: ribosomal RNA, 514 nt
Filed under: bacterium enrichment culture clone ALO1_GLFRUDD03F1BJN
Lineage: Bacteria
Description: bacterial SSU rRNA
Rfam family: Bacterial small subunit ribosomal RNA
Source: RNAcentral
GAGUUUGAUCUUGGCUCAGAUUGAACGCUGGCGGCAGGCCUAACACAUGCAAGUCGAGCGGAUGACGGGAGCUUGCUCCUUGAUUCAGCGGCGGACGGGUGAGUAAUGCCUAGGAAUCUGCCUGGUAGUGGGGGACAACGUUUCGAAAGGAACGCUAAUACCGCAUACGUCCUACGGGAGAAAGCAGGGGACCUUCGGGCCUUGCGCUAUCAGAUGAGCCUAAGGUCGGAUUAGCUAGUUGGUGGGGUAAUGGCUCACCAAGGCGACGAUCCGUAACUGGUCUGAGAGGAUGAUCAGUCACACUGGAACUGAGACACGGUCCAGACUCCUACGGGAGGCAGCAGUGGGGAAUAUUGGACAAUGGGCGAAAGCCUGAUCCAGCCAUGCCGCGUGUGUGAAGAAGGUCUUCGGAUUGUAAAGCACUUUAAGUUGGGAGGAAGGGCAGUAAGUUAAUACCUUGCUGUUUUGACGUUACCGACAGAAUAAGCACCGGCUAACUCUGUGCCAGCAGCCG